CCUCCGUCGGCCAGGAGAGGUAGGGCGCGGGGGUAUUGUGACAUGCUCCAGGAAGGGCAGCUUUUCUCUCGGCCAACAGAGGCCGGAGGCCAUUGGGGCAAGGGAGCCGGCUGGGCAUGGAGCAGCCGAUUGGGGCGCAGCCCUCGGAGGGCCCUCAGGAGGAGUCCGCUGAGGAGCAGGAGGACAUGCCGGCCCCGUCUGCCGAAGGUCGUGGCCAGGUGCUGCUGAUAGGCGGGUACUGGAAGCAGGACGAGUGCUGUGCGACCCUGCAGGACUUCGGCGGAUCCUCGUCCCGCCGCGCCACCAUCCGUCCCAGCAGCUCCACUGACUGCGCCAGGAGGGGUCUCAAGCGCUCAGGCGACAGCGUGGCGCACGGCUCUGACGGCCCGGCGGCCAAGUCCCCGCGCUUGGAGGAGAAGCCGCAGCGCGCCAAGCCCAAGCCCCAGGCCCAGCCCGCGGACGCGAGAGAGCACCAGACGGCCGGAGCUCCGCCCGAGACCCCCGGCUCGGCGGAGCGGGGGGCGAACCUGGUCCUCGUGCUGUGCAGCGCGCGUGCGCUUUGCACGCAGCUGCUGCGGGUGCAGCUGCUGCUGGGCAAGGUGCGUGCCCGGCAGCGCCGCCCACCCACGGCGCUCCUCGGGGUCGUCGUGCAGCCGCGGCCGGAGGAGGAGGCCGAGGCGCGCCGCCGCCUGGAGAGCCUGCUCUGCAGCGUCUUCGCGCCGCACGGCCGGGCCGCGGAGGUGCACACCGCGGUGUUCCGCCCCGGCCGCGCUCAGGGCAGCCUGGACGUGCAGCGCGCCGCCAGCCAGGCGCCCGGAGUCCACCUGGUGGAUCGCCAGACCCAGACGGAUGGGCCUGUGACCCCUGCGGGCCCGUGGCCCUGCUCCUGCGUUGCCUGCCCAGGCAGCUCCACUUGCUGGCGUCGCCUGGGGCUUUGCCACAGCCGCAUCUUCGAUGUCCUUCUGCCUCGGGAUUGGCAGGCCAUGCCAGGGAGAGGAUUCCCCAACCUACUCACCUUCUACAGAGCCAUGCCAGGCCCGCCGCUGCCCCUCCUGAGAAGACACUGUGGCUGCAGACCCGGGGUUACUGUUAUUGUUCUAGAACCGUCUCUACCCUGAACCGCGUGCAGUGGCUGGGGAGCCAUGUCCUGGGCCCUUAGAGGCUGAACGAGAGACAGGAAGUGCCGCGUCCCCGGAGGUCCUGGGAGUUUCAGAACGAAACAGUGCUUGGGGUCCAGCUGGACACCUUGGGGUCCCCACGAUAAAACCUCCCAAGAAACACUGCUUCCCUCGUGCUACAAGCCCUCGGGACUGUGGCUGUGGCUCUGGGGGCCCUGGGAGCUGCCUAC
This is an RNA transcript of Chinchilla lanigera (long-tailed chinchilla), 1348 nucleotides long. It is a transcript of the gene named spermatogenesis associated 3, with no coding region annotated. The transcript has 4 exons. The record is from RefSeq and is a predicted model, not a curated record. Lineage: Eukaryota; Metazoa; Chordata; Mammalia; Rodentia; Chinchillidae.